GAUGGAAGGUUAUAUACUUAGUGGCGGACGGGUGAGUAACGCGUGGGCAACCUGCCCCGUGCCGGGGGAUACCGCCUGGAAACAGGCGCUAAUACCGCAUAAGCGCAUACAACCGCAUGGGUGUAUGCGGAAAGCUCCGGCGGCACGGGAUGGGCCCGCGCCCGAUUAGCCAGUUGGCGGGGUAACGGCCCACCAAAGCGACGAUCGGUAGCCGGCCUGAGAGGGCGGACGGCCACAUUGGGACUGAGACACGGCCCAAACUCCUACGGGAGGCAGCAGUGGGGAAUAUUGCACAAUGGGGGAAACCCUGAUGCAGCAACGCCGCGUGGGUGAAGGAGCGUUUCGGCGCGUAAAGCCCUGUCAGCGGGGAAGAAGAAAGACGGUACCCGACCAAGAAGCCCCGGCUAACUACGUGCCAGCAGCCGCGGUAAUACGUAGGGGGCGAGCGUUAUCCGGAAUUACUGGGUGUAAAGGGAGCGUAGACGGCGAGGUAAGCCUGAAGUGGAAGCCCGCGGCCCAACCGCGGAACUGCUUUGGGAACUGUUUUGCUGGAGUAUGGGAGGGGUAAGCGGAAUUCCUGGUGUAGCGGUGAAAUGCGUAGAUAUCAGGAGGAACACCGGUGGCGAAGGCGGCUUACUGGACCAUAACUGACGUUGAGGCUCGAAAGCGUGGGGAGCGAACAGGAUUAGAUACCCUGGUAGUCCACGCCGUAAACGAUGAUUACCAGGUGUCGGGUGUCGAAGGACGGCCGGUGCCGCAGCGAACGCAGUAAGUAAUCCACCUGGGGAGUACGUUCGCAAGAAUGAAACUCAAAGGAAUUGACGGGGACCCGCACAAGCGGUGGGAGCAUGUGGUUUAA
RNAcentral lists this ribosomal RNA (859 nucleotides) under uncultured bacterium. RNAcentral describes it as "bacterial SSU rRNA". It matches the Rfam family "Bacterial small subunit ribosomal RNA", at positions 74 to 949 of the family's 1533-position model. The record is from RNAcentral.